GUCCACGCCGUAAACGAUGGAUGCUAGGUGUUGGGGGUAUUGACCCCUCCAGCGCCGCAGCUAACGCAUUAAGCAUCCCGCCUGGGGAGUACGGCCGCAAGGCUAAAACUCAAAGGAAUUGACGGGGGCCCGCACAAGCGGUGGAGCAUGUGGUUUAAUUCGACGCAACGCGAAGAACCUUACCUGGGUUAAAUCGCCCGGAAUCCCGCAGAGAUGUGGGAGUGCCCUUCGGGGAACCGGGUAGAAGGUGCUGCAUGGCUGUCGU
Molecule: ribosomal RNA, 265 nt
Filed under: uncultured bacterium
Lineage: Bacteria
Description: partial 16S ribosomal RNA
Rfam family: Bacterial small subunit ribosomal RNA
Source: RNAcentral